GAAAUGCGAUAAGUAAUGUGAAUUGCAGAAUUCAGUGAAUCAUCGAAUCUUUGAACGCACCUUGCGCCCUUUGGCCAUUCCGAAGGGCAUGCCUGUUUGAGUAUCAUGAACACCUCAACUCUCAUGGUUUGCCAUGAUGAGCUUGGACUUUGGGGGUCUUGCUGGCCUAUGGUCGGCUCCUCUCAAACAAAUCAGCUUGCCAGUGUUUGGUGGCAUCACGGGUGUGAUAACUAUCUACGCUUGUGGUUUUCCACCAGAUAACCUUCAGUGAUGAAGGUUCGCUGGAGCUCACAAACGUCUCUCCUCGGCGAGGACAGCUUUCUGAACGUUUGAUCUCAAAUCAGGUAGGACUACCCGCUGAACUUAA
RNAcentral lists this unclassified non-coding RNA (367 nucleotides) under uncultured Tomentella. RNAcentral describes it as "sequence contains ITS1". The stretch from base 1 to 106 matches the Rfam family "5.8S ribosomal RNA", at positions 50 to 154 of the family's 154-position model. The record is from RNAcentral. Lineage: Eukaryota; Fungi; Basidiomycota; Agaricomycetes; Thelephorales; Thelephoraceae.